RNAcentral lists this long non-coding RNA (332 nucleotides) under Malus domestica (apple). RNAcentral's name for it is "long non-coding RNA (MDOM_LNC013876)". Lineage: Eukaryota; Viridiplantae; Streptophyta; Magnoliopsida; Rosales; Rosaceae. The record is from RNAcentral.
UUGGUUAUGUGGAGGAAUGGAUGGGAAGGAGUUUAGAUAUGUAGGGAGAGGCAAGGCAAGCUUUGGAGAAUGGUUAAUUUCUGGAUGAUUUCAAUGAGGCUGCUGCCAUGGGUAUUUAUAGGGAGAGGACGGACUUGUUUAAUUCAAUUUUCUGGUGGAAAAUAGGUAGGUGACACACGGCAUUGAGUGGAGAAUAUUGGUGGGUUAGGUCUUGAAUCAUACACUCAAUUCUUGUGCACAAUCUACUCAUUUUCUGUUGAGUUGGGGAUGAAUCAUCCACUCAAAUGUCAUGGUGAGUUAGGCAUUGCAUCAUCUCAAAUGUCAUGGUGAGU